CACCACUUACACCACAGGCUGCAUUUGGAGCGGUGUAUGAAUCUUCUCGAGUACACCACGAAAGAACUUUUAAGAAAACUUAAGUCUGCAAAUAAUCUUGGAGAAAGAAGGAAAACGCUGGAGACAGAAAAUGAGAAAGGGUUCGCACGGGAUCGCAAAGAGUCGGACAGGACUGAACAACUGAACAUAUAUGUAUUUCCUAGCUCUGUCCACUGAGAGAGCAAUAGCACCGCUACUACAAUGAACACGCCUAGAACUCAGACUUCUUUUCUAAAUACCAUUCUCCACCAAGAGGAACUAUGGCUCCAUGUGUAGGGAAUGAAACUGAAAUACUUUGUUGAGCAAUAAAAUAAGUUACUUAAAGA
Long non-coding RNA from Bubalus bubalis (water buffalo), 365 nucleotides. RefSeq lists it as uncharacterized. The transcript has 2 exons. The record is from RefSeq and is a predicted model, not a curated record. NCBI's taxonomy places the organism in Eukaryota, Metazoa, Chordata, Mammalia, Artiodactyla, Bovidae.